UAGGGAAUUUUCGGCAAUGGGGGAAACCCUGACCGAGCAACGCCGCGUGAAGGAUGAAGGCCCUCGGGUUGUAAACUUCUGUUAUAGAGGAAGAAAAACUAUAAGAGUGGAAAGCUUAUAGUGUGACUGUACUUUAUUAGAAAGCCACGGCUAACUACGUGCCAGCAGCCGCGGUAAUACGUAGGUGGCGAGCGUUAUCCGGAAUUAUUGGGCGUAAAGAGUGAGCAGGCGGUUAUUUAAGUCUGAAGUGAAAUGGCAUUGCUUAACGGUGUCAGGCUUUGGAAACUGGAUGACUAGAGAACAGGAGAGGUUAGUGGAAUUCCAUGUGUAGCGGUGAAAUGCGUAGAUAUAUGGAGGAACACCAGUGGCGAAGGCGACUAACUGGCCUGUGACUGACGCUGAGUCACGAAAGCGUGGGGAGCAAAUA
RNAcentral lists this ribosomal RNA (427 nucleotides) under uncultured Erysipelotrichaceae bacterium. RNAcentral describes it as "partial 16S ribosomal RNA". It matches the Rfam family "Bacterial small subunit ribosomal RNA", at positions 355 to 774 of the family's 1533-position model. Lineage: Bacteria; Bacillati; Bacillota; Erysipelotrichia; Erysipelotrichales; Erysipelotrichaceae. The record is from RNAcentral.